This 667-nucleotide unclassified non-coding RNA is filed under the name Hevea brasiliensis (rubber tree). The record is from RNAcentral. Lineage: Eukaryota; Viridiplantae; Streptophyta; Magnoliopsida; Malpighiales; Euphorbiaceae.
UCAGACUGCAACUAUUCUAAUGGCAGUGUUUGUCUUAGAGAGUCUUCUACUUGCAGGGGAGCUUCAUCAGGCAUACGAAUCAGCGGCAAAAGAUGUGUUGAUCAGGAAAAUGGGAAAUGGAUUCCUGAUAGGACAUCAGAAUUAAGCUCAAACCAUAAUGAAACACAACCUAGAAACAGUGGUUCCUUGUUGGAGGAGGAUCUUUCGGAAUCUGUAUCUAUGAGCCAACACAAGGAUGAAAGGCAUGAUGAUGUGAAUGGAGAAGAUGGUGAGAAUGUGGAGCGCUGUGUUGAGAACUGUAUUACCACCGAAAGAGAAAGGUUCAAGGAAACCUCCGAAUACAAAAAGGCACUAGAGGAAGAACUGGCAUCCAGGCAAAGAGCAUUGGCGAUUCAGGCACAAGAAGCCAAGAAAAUGAAGCUGCUGCUGAAAAGAAAGAAGGCUGAAAGUAUGCGUUUAUUAGAAAUGGAAAAGAGACAAAAGCAGCGCGUGGAGGAAAUCAGAGAAACUCAAAAGAAGGACGUAGAGAAUAUGAACCUGAAGGAGCAGAUACGAGCUGAAGUUCGAAUGGAACUCAGUAAGCUUGAAAUAACAUGCCAUGAUAUGGCUUCGGUGUUGAGCGGAUUGGGGAUCACUGUUGGCGCUGGCACUAGUCAUGAGGUGCGUG